CCUACCACCGCUCUGUCGCCCCCCUGCAACCAAGAUCGUCUAUCGCUCGCCCCACCUCCCCUGCGACCGCCAGCGAUGGGAAGGCCCUGCAGCGGUGCAGCCCGCGAUCUGGGAAGGAAGGAUGACAUCGCUGCUGGUGGUGGGGCGUCGUGUGACAUCCUCCACCAGCCGCGUCUCCACGGUAUCCCUCGCCAGGCCAGGAUGUGGUGAUCACAGCCAGGACGUGGUCAUCAUAGAGCCAAUCCCUUCUCUCCCUAUUGUGCUAUGCAAAAUGGAGCACCCUCGCGCUGCCAGGGAGCCCCAGGACAUGGUGAUCACGGCCAGGACGUGGUGGUCACGGAGAAUGUACCACCAGGUGUGCGAAUGCCUUCUCUUCCCUUCCUGCUAUUUGUCUUCUGAACUGAUCUAAUUACAUGUUCGUACAUGUAUUAUGACUGCUUACUUCGAUCUAUUUAGUUUGAGGCGGCCAGGACAUGGUCACGCAAGGGAUUGUGUCAUCUGAUUGAGGUUGUUGAUUCAGGUGUUGCAUAGUAUCAUUCUGAUCAGUUUAGUUUGUGGUUGUGGUGCUCAUGUGAAACUCACUGAUUUUUUUUUAAAAGUCUAACAUAGCUUUCGCUUGGUUGUAUGCUCACCCUUUAGGCUUUCUAAACAUGAAAUAGCAGUUUUUUCAUUGCCAUCAUUAAUCAUCUCAUGGUGUUAGUUGAUUAAUAGAACAUGGCCAGGCUAAUCCCUACUACUAGACAAGCACUGCAGUUUUCACAUCUAAACAAACACCUGGAAAUAUUCAUAAGUAUUUUCAGAACUAGACUAAAGAAUCUUAUUCAUAGCACGGUAUUAAUUAGAACCUAACAAUAUUUAACCCAGUUUAUUUAGAACUAGGCUUGGCUAACCUACAUGUAUUUUCAUAACUUUUCUGAACUGAAGACUGAUUUCAGUUUCAGUAUGAAUUCUUUAGAGGUGCCUAAGUUAUCACAUAUGUGGCUGAACGAAAUCUAACAGUAGGUUCACAUAGCUUCAGAGUUCAGAGGUGCCUUAAGUCAUCACAUACUCUUAGUAUCAGGCCAACCAUAUCCAAUACUUUUGCAUACUAUGACACUAAUAUUUUUUUGUCGCUGAAGAUAUUUUGAGAACAAUCAGACUGAUAAUUAUAUGCACUAAAAAAUCAGAUAUGAGGAUGUGGACUAAUAUAUGUAAAUUAACAUGUAGUAGAAACCAAAUAACUCAUAUCUUCAGAGAUAGGAAUCUUACCUAAUAAAGCUUAGCAACUAUUUUGGCUGUUCAGAGUGAGAAAAUAGUUAGCUUCUCAUGGACCAUUUGACAUAGCCAAUGAACCCAUCAAAGAUUUUCAAGUUUAUUUGUCUGAUGGAGUGAAUGAGGCACGCCCAGCAUGGCAGCACUAGAAUGAAGGGUAUCUAUGACCUGUAUGGUCCAAAAUACACGAGUAAAAAAGGAAAACUAGUUGCCACUAUGAUAGUUCAAGACUUCAAAAAACAAGAAGCAAAUUCUAGCUCAAAUGCUGACAAAAUAACACUAGAAAAUUGUGUCAUUUCUUGUUCUUGGGAAAAAAACUGGACACUGAUCACUUCAACAAUACUAGCAUCAUUAGAACUCUGCAACUAUAUACUGUAAGAUGUGCAAGCAGAGCUCAAGCACCAGUAUAGAAAGUUUAAUGGAUGCAGUUGUUUUUAAUUAGUGGAGACUGGCCGAUACAACCGCCUCCAAUAAAAGGCCUUGGUUAAUCGACGGUAACCGAGGUGGUUUCUCUUUCCGCCUCUAUUAAUCAUAUAAAUAGACGAUUAAUAGAGGUGGGCACAACAAAGCUACCGCCUCCGUUAACAUAAUUAAUGGAGACGGACCUUAAUAACCGCCUGUCUUCACUAAUGUUUUAACGGAGACGGCCAUUUUAUAAUGCUUGCCUCUAUUAAUUGUUCUUGUUGUCGGGGCGGGCCAGGACAUGAUCUUAGACUUGUUGGAGCCUGAAGGUGAAUUCACGUCGGUUGAUAUUUCAGAAAUCAAUCCUGAAGGAUUAGGCGUUCAAGAAAUGCCCUGCCUGUCAGGCUCAGUUUCGCUUCAGACAGUAUUUAUAUACUAUUUUAUUUGAAUAACUGCAUUGGCUGUCCGUUGCUACUGUGUUGAUGCCUUUUUCUUCAACCCGAAAUCCUGUCAUAUAAAAUGGUGUUGUAUUAUAUGAUUGGAAUGAUAUGAUGGCCUACUUAUUCCUCAACUAAAAUAUGGGGUAAAUUAAAACUUACUACUGGCCUAUGGGUCCAAAUGCUCAGCGUUUGGUGUCUUGUCUGCAGACUGGUGGUGGUGCCGGUGCGCCUUGGAUGUUUGGACCUCGCCGUAGAAGUAGGAGACGAAGCCCCAGAGCGAGAGCGCGAGGGCGACGCCCUUGGUGCCGUUGAACGGCUCGUGGAAGAACAUGACGGCGAGCACCUCGGUGACCGGGAU
This 2451-nucleotide long non-coding RNA is filed under the name Sorghum bicolor (sorghum). RNAcentral describes it as "long non-coding RNA (SBIC_LNC003650)". Lineage: Eukaryota; Viridiplantae; Streptophyta; Magnoliopsida; Poales; Poaceae. The record is from RNAcentral.